AGAAAAUACAGCUUUAAAAAGUUAUGUCUAUCAAUCAAGACAAGGCAAGGAAUUCAUUAUCCAAUACCUCGACUCCUCAAGGAACACCCUAGGUUCUCUCGUUCCAUAGUCUUUAUCUUCUUCUUAUAUGGAUGGCACAAAAUCAAACGAAAAAAAAAGGGGAAAAGUAGAAAGAAUAGAAAGAAAGAAAGAACCUUGUAUGUGUGAAUGAUAUAAUCCAAGAUGGACUUUUCAAAGUGUCCUUUUCCAUCA
Molecule: long non-coding RNA, 252 nt
Organism: Cucurbita moschata (crookneck pumpkin)
Lineage: Eukaryota; Viridiplantae; Streptophyta; Magnoliopsida; Cucurbitales; Cucurbitaceae
Exons: 2
Source: RefSeq, a predicted model, not a curated record